UAUGAGCAAGUGAAUGAAAAGUGUGGAGACAGUAGAGAGAGAAAAGAGAAAAGUUGGCUAACAUUGAAGAUAAACAGAGGACUGACAAUAAGGAUCAGAUUUUAAGUUGUUCUCGGAACUGUGAUGCAAUACUGUUAAUAGUUAAUAUGAACAAAUUCUUUCUCUGUGUGUAGUUGAUGGGAUAUCAUAACACGCUUAGUCUCAUUAGCUUGUUGCAAUGACUCUUUGAGUCAUUAUUCUAUGAGGCAGCUGAGCAAGAAUGCAUGAUGACCUAAAAUCUAAAGAAGAAAAAGCAUCACAGGCCAUGUUAUGCCAAGUGUAUCAGCAUUGCAGUGAGCUUUGGGGUUCAAUGGCCCCCUUGUCUGUACUGCGAGGGAAAUUCUGACAUUUGGAAAACAUUCUCUUAGUUUUAUUGUUAAGACUGCAUGGAAUCCGUCCAUUUUCAGAUUAUAUUCUGGGAAAUUCUGCCUUCAGGCUGCCAACCUUAGGUUCCUAUCCUUAUUACCCAAUAGCUUACGUAGGUCAACUAGCACCAGUGAGCUGCUGUGAGGGAAACUUCUUUAUUGGAAAUAAUAUGUAAAAUUAGUGCCCACUACAUAAUCACUUAAGAACCUGGAGAGUGGCACUGCCAUUGUGUUGUUGAAGGAGCUGACAUCUGAAGAGCGUGAAGUGUCUCUGCAAGUACAACAUGGCACUUCCUGGCACCGCUUGCCACGGUCUAUAGUUUCCUCACAUCUGUGGACUUAGAAAUAAACUUUACCCUCUGGGAAAA
Mus musculus (house mouse) is the source of this 772-nucleotide long non-coding RNA. RefSeq annotates it as predicted gene, 36107. The transcript is spliced from 4 exons. Lineage: Eukaryota; Metazoa; Chordata; Mammalia; Rodentia; Muridae. The record is from RefSeq and is a predicted model, not a curated record.